CGCCUCUUGUUUCUCCUAUAUAAGAGGUCCUGCCUGCCCAGUGACAUAUUGUUAAACGGCCGCGGUAUCAUGACCGUGCAAAGGUAGCGUAAUCACUUGUCUUCUAAAUAAAGACCGGUAUGAAUGGCAAAACGAGAGUUCAACUGUCUCCUUUAACCAAUCAGUGAAAUUGAUCUUUCCGUGCAGAAGCGGAAAUUUAAAUAUAAGACGAGAAGACCCUAUGGAGCUUAAAAUAUAAACCAUUUAUAAAAUAAUAUACCAAAAGGCUAAUAAUUAACAUAAAUUCUGGUUAAAAUUUUAGGUUGGGGCGACCACGGAAUAAAAUAAAACUUCCGAGAUGAAAUUAUAAUUCAAGGGUAACAACCCUAAAAAAUAAAACAUUUAACAUAAUUGAUCCAAUAUUUUGAUCAACGGACCAAGUUACCCUAGGGAUAACAGCGCAAUCCUUUCCAAGAGUUCUUGUCGACGAAUGGGUUUACGACCUCGAUGUUGGAUCAGGACAUCCUAAUGGUGCAGCUGCUACUAAGGGUUCGUUUGUUCAACGAUUAAAGUCCC
Molecule: ribosomal RNA, 555 nt
Filed under: Andrias davidianus (Chinese giant salamander)
Lineage: Eukaryota; Metazoa; Chordata; Amphibia; Caudata; Cryptobranchidae
Description: partial large subunit ribosomal RNA
Rfam family: Bacterial large subunit ribosomal RNA
Source: RNAcentral